GAUGAAGAACGUAGCGAAAUGCGAUAAGUAGUGUGAAUUGCAGAAUUCAGUGAAUCAUCGAAUCUUUGAACGCACAUUGCGCCCCUUGGUAUUCCAUGGGGCAUGCCUGUUCGAGCGUCAUUUGUACCUUCAAGCUCUGCUUGGUGUUGGGUGUUUGUCUCGCCUCUGCGUGUAGACUCGCCUCAAAGCAAUUGGCAGCCGGCGUAUUGAUUUCGGAGCGCAGUACAUCUCGCGCUUUGCACUCAUAACGACGACGUCCAAAAGUACAUUUUUACACUCUUGACCUCGGAUCAGGUAGGGAUACCCGCUGAACUUAAGCAUAUCAAUAAGCGGAGGA
Molecule: unclassified non-coding RNA, 337 nt
Filed under: soil metagenome
Description: partial contains 5.8S ribosomal RNA, internal transcribed spacer 2, and large subunit ribosomal RNA
Rfam family: 5.8S ribosomal RNA (bases 1-120)
Source: RNAcentral